AUGUCGUAACAAGGUCUCCGUAGGUGAACCUGCGGAGGGAUCAUUA
Molecule: ribosomal RNA, 46 nt
Filed under: Curvularia lunata
Lineage: Eukaryota; Fungi; Ascomycota; Dothideomycetes; Pleosporales; Pleosporaceae
Description: partial 18S ribosomal RNA
Rfam family: Eukaryotic small subunit ribosomal RNA
Source: RNAcentral